Long non-coding RNA from Daucus carota subsp. sativus, 355 nucleotides. RefSeq lists it as uncharacterized. The record is from RefSeq and is a predicted model, not a curated record. NCBI's taxonomy places the organism in Eukaryota, Viridiplantae, Streptophyta, Magnoliopsida, Apiales, Apiaceae. The transcript has 2 exons.
UCAAGGUGCGAAACCGUUCAGCCGCGGGUGGUGUUACUUGUUUCAAGGGAGAUGGCAUGGCUACAAGGCUCAUGACCGGAGCGGCGUUAGUGCUACGCCGUUGUUGUAUCCGUAUCGACACCGCCAGUGAUGCCGAUGAAGUUUUAAAAACAGGAGCCAGGCCAUAUGGACUGAGUAAAAGGAACGUGCAAGAGUGAAGUGCAAAUGUGCAAUACAUCACUCGAGCUUAUGCUGGCUGUAUUAAGAUGAUAUGUGAUGCAGUGAUUUACCAAGUAAACUGAAAUUUCAAAAAAUAACAUCACCAAGAAAAAAAAAUAUAAAUGAGAUAGUACCUCGUACAAUUUGUUGGUCUUCA